GAACUUUGAGGUGGAAGAUGUCGGAAAGUAACUUCGGCGACGCAAGCGAGGAACAGGUGUCUGGCGCUGCAGUCCUCGCCCGGGCCCUGAAAGCGCAAGAUGUGCAGUACAUGUUUGGCAUCGUGGGCAUCCCAGUGACCGAAAUCGCCAUCGCCGCCCAGCAGCUGGGCAUCAGAUACGUGGGGAUGAGGAAUGAGCAGGCGGCUUGUUACGCUGCCUCUGCGGUUGGAUAUCUGACAGGCAGGCCGGGAGUAUGCCUUGUUGUUUCUGGCCCAGGUCUCGUGCACGCCUUGGGUGGUAUGGCAAAUGCAAACAUGAACUGCUGGCCCUUGAUUGUGAUUGGUGGUUCCUCUGAAAGAUGUCAGGAAACAAUGGGAGCCUUCCAGGAGUUUCCUCAGGUUGAAGCUUGUAGAUUAUAUAGCAAGUUCUCUGUCCGGCCGAGCAGCAUAGAAGCUAUUCCAUCUAUUGUCGAAAAGGCUGUAAGAAGCAGUAUAUAUGGUCGUCCAGGUGCUUGCUAUAUUGACAUACCUGCAGAUUUUGUGAACCUCCAAGUGAAUGUGAAUUCUAUAAAGUACGUGGAGUGCUGCAUGCCACCUCCUAUUAGUAUGGCUGAAACGUCUGCUGUACAAAUGGCAGCAUCUGUUAUUAGGAAUGCCAAACAGCCCCUUCUUAUCAUCGGGAAAGGUGCUGCUUAUGCCCAUGCAGAGGAGGGAAUCAGGAAAUUGGUGGAGCAAUGUAAAUUGCCAUUUUUACCCACCCCCAUGGGAAAGGGUGUUAUCCCUGACAAUCAUCCAAACUGUGUAGCUGCUGCCAGAUCCAGGGCUUUGCAAUUUGCUGAUGUAAUCGUGUUAUUUGGUGCCAGAUUAAAUUGGAUAUUGCAUUUUGGACUGCCUCCAAGAUAUCAGCCAGAUGUGAAGUUUAUCCAGAUUGAUAUCUGUGCAGAAGAACUGGGGAAUAAUGUAAGACCUGCUGUGACUUUGCUAGGAGAUAUAAAUGCAGUCACUAAACAGCUUUUAGAACAAUUUGACAAAACACCGUGGCAGUAUCCUCCAGAGAGCAAAUGGUGGAACACUCUGAGAGAAAAAAUGAAGAGCAAUGAAGCUGCAUCCAAGGAAUUAGCUUCCAAAAAAUCCUUGCCUAUGAAUUAUUACACAGUAUUCUACCAUGUUCAAGAACAACUACCUAGAGACUGUAUGGUGGUAAGUGAAGGAGCAAAUACUAUGGAUAUUGGACGCACUGUGCUUCAAAACUACCUUCCUCGUCACAGGCUAGAUGCUGGUACUUUUGGAACAAUGGGAGUCGGUUUGGGAUUUGCCAUUGCAGCUGCUAUAGUGGCUAAAGAUAGAAACCCAGGACAGCGGGUCAUCUGUGUGGAAGGAGACAGUGCAUUUGGGUUUUCUGGCAUGGAAGUGGAAACCAUCUGCAGGUACAACUUGCCAAUUGUACUUUUGGUGGUGAAUAAUAAUGGAAUUUACCAAGGUGUUGAUACAGAUUCUUGGAAGGAAAUGUUAAAAUUUGGAGAUGCUACUGCUCUGGCCCCUCCAAUGUGUCUUCUGCCAAAUGCACAUUAUGAGCAGGUCAUGACUGCAUUUGGAGGCAAUGGGUAUUUUGUACAAACACGAGAAGAACUCCAAGAAUCCCUGAGGAAAAGCUUGGCAGACACAACUAAACCCUCUCUUAUCAACAUCAUGAUUGAGCCGCAAUCCAUGCGGAAAGCCCAGAUACUGCAUUUUAAGACCUUCUACCAGCAAAAAGAUUACGACUCGCUGAAAGCUCAGAUGAUGGAGGAGCAAAAGAUGACAAGUAAAUUUCCCUACAAGGAGUUACUGGGGCUACAGGGUUUAAAUGUCUUCCUCAAGGAUAUAACAAGAUGGAAAGAGUCCCUACCAUUUUUAAGAAGCUGCCUGAGGAACUGCUUCACCUGAAUGAAGUCUCUCCUUUUCCGCACCUCUUUGGAAAUUUUGGUUCACACUCUGUAGUCUUCACCUUCAAAAUCUCAGUCCAAGCUCCCUUAGGUGGCUCAAGGCCAGCCCAGUGCCAAUCUCUUCCCUGAGAGAGUGAGGACAACUAAGCUUCGUGCCCUGGAGAUGGAAGUGCAGGCUUAAUGCUUGGUUUUCUCUAAACAGCCC
This is an RNA transcript of Myotis brandtii (Brandt's bat), 2129 nucleotides long. It is a transcript of the gene named 2-hydroxyacyl-CoA lyase 1, with no coding region annotated. NCBI's taxonomy places the organism in Eukaryota, Metazoa, Chordata, Mammalia, Chiroptera, Vespertilionidae. The record is from RefSeq and is a predicted model, not a curated record. The transcript has 21 exons.